RNAcentral lists this ribosomal RNA (1243 nucleotides) under 'Dodonaea viscosa' witches'-broom phytoplasma. RNAcentral describes it as "bacterial SSU rRNA". It matches the Rfam family "Bacterial small subunit ribosomal RNA", at positions 156 to 1399 of the family's 1533-position model. The record is from RNAcentral. Lineage: Bacteria; Bacillati; Mycoplasmatota; Mollicutes; Acholeplasmatales; Acholeplasmataceae.
ACGACUGCUAAGACUGGAUAGGAGACAAGAAGGCAUCUUCUUGUUUUUAAAAGACCUAGCAAUAGGUAUGCUUAGGGAGGAGCUUGCGUCACAUUAGUUAGUUGGUGGGGUAAAGGCCUACCAAGACUAUGAUGUGUAGCCGGGCUGAGAGGUUGAACGGCCACAUUGGGACUGAGACACGGCCCAAACUCCUACGGGAGGCAGCAGUAGGGAAUUUUCGGCAAUGGAGGAAACUCUGACCGAGCAACGCCGCGUGAACGAUGAAGUAUUUCGGUACGUAAAGUUCUUUUAUUAGGGAAGAAUAAAUGAUGGAAAAAUCAUUCUGACGGUACCUAAUGAAUAAGCCCCGGCUAACUAUGUGCCAGCAGCCGCGGUAAUACAUAGGGGGCAAGCGUUAUCCGGAAUUAUUGGGCGUAAAGGGUGCGUAGGCGGUUAAAUAAGUUUAUGGUCUAAGUGCAAUGCUCAACAUUGUGAUGCUAUAAAAACUGUUUAGCUAGAGUAAGAUAGAGGCAAGUGGAAUUCCAUGUGUAGUGGUAAAAUGCGUAAAUAUAUGGAGGAACACCAGUAGCGAAGGCGGCUUGCUGGGUCUUUACUGACGCUGAGGCACGAAAGCGUGGGGAGCAAACAGGAUUAGAUACCCUGGUAGUCCACGCCGUAAACGAUGAGUACUAAACGUUGGGUAAAACCAGUGUUGAAGUUAACACAUUAAGUACUCCGCCUGAGUAGUACGUACGCAAGUAUGAAACUUAAAGGAAUUGACGGGACUCCGCACAAGCGGUGGAUCAUGUUGUUUAAUUCGAAGGUACCCGAAAAACCUCACCAGGUCUUGACAUGCUUCUGCAAAGCUGUAGAGACACAGUGGAGGUUAUCAGUUGCACAGGUGGUGCAUGGUUGUCGUCAGCUCGUGUCGUGAGAUGUUGGGUUAAGUCCCGCAACGAGCGCAACCCUUAUUGUUAGUUACCAGCACGUAAUGGUGGGGACUUUAGCAAGACUGCCAGUGAUAAAUUGGAGGAAGGUGGGGACGACGUCAAAUCAUCAUGCCCCUUAUGACCUGGGCUACAAACGUGAUACAAUGGCUGUUACAAAGGGUAGCUGAAGCGCAAGUUUUUGGCGAAUCUCAAAAAAACAGUCUCAGUUCGGAUUGAAGUCUGCAACUCGACUUCAUGAAGUUGGAAUCGCUAGUAAUCGCGAAUCAGCAUGUCGCGGUGAAUACGUUCUCGGGGUUUGUACACACCGCCCGUCA